UUUUCUCAUCUCCGAAGAGGUUUAAGAGUGGAAUCAACCAACACAUCGAUGCCAGAUUGUUAACCAGUAAUGACAACCUCCUCGAGACGUCCUGGGUCAACCCCCGAGGCUUUGAGUUCCUGGCUGUACCUGACCCUCUUACCCCUCGCCGGUUGCCCACCUCGAUCUGCCCCGGUAAGCUGAGGCCCGCAGCUGUCCGCCCUCUGACGCCGUCUGCUGGUU
Poecilia latipinna (sailfin molly) is the source of this 222-nucleotide long non-coding RNA. RefSeq lists it as uncharacterized. NCBI's taxonomy places the organism in Eukaryota, Metazoa, Chordata, Actinopteri, Cyprinodontiformes, Poeciliidae. The record is from RefSeq and is a predicted model, not a curated record. The transcript is spliced from 2 exons.